Psammomys obesus (fat sand rat) is the source of this 515-nucleotide long non-coding RNA. RefSeq lists it as uncharacterized. NCBI's taxonomy places the organism in Eukaryota, Metazoa, Chordata, Mammalia, Rodentia, Muridae. The transcript is spliced from 5 exons. The record is from RefSeq and is a predicted model, not a curated record.
CCUGAGCCCUUAAGAGACGGGCACGCACGUGCUGGGCUUUCUCUGCGGACGUCAUGGGGUCCUGUCUCUUUCACCCGUGCGGCUGGCGCCUGCCCCGCGGCCUGGUGGAGCCGAGCCUGGUGGGCGCCGAGCCCGGUCUCCCAGCUCCGCCGUGGGCGCCGUGCAGACCCAGGGGAGCCGGGCGCGGUGUUGACGGGGAGUAGGAGCAGGAUUCCGCCAUGAGGUUGGAAGUUUAAAGAGUGGAGGGUUGCCAGCAGUAUGGCCUCACAUAAGGUGUGUGUCCGUUUCCUCAAGAACUGAGUGCUGGAAUGCGGUUUGUGUGGGCAGCAGUGGCAAAGGUGGCUUCUCCCGAGGAGUCCUCAAAAACUCAAGAUCCUGAAAGCAGCCUCUUUAAACCUUGGUAUGAAAGUACUUCAAGGAUGUGUCUGCUGACUCUGCUCUGUGCAAGCACAUUGGUAAUCCUGUCCCACAGGAGCCUCUAUGUCUUUCAAUAAAUUCUAAUUUAAGAAAAUUGA